Long non-coding RNA from Carassius auratus (goldfish), 665 nucleotides. RefSeq lists it as uncharacterized. The record is from RefSeq and is a predicted model, not a curated record. NCBI's taxonomy places the organism in Eukaryota, Metazoa, Chordata, Actinopteri, Cypriniformes, Cyprinidae. The transcript has 3 exons.
UAAACACAGACUCUGACAUUACACUAACUGGACAAGAACAUCUGCUCAAGCUUUUGAUUUCCAGGAUGAAGACUUUACGUGCAAUGCUACUGAUGAUGUGUGUUGCAUUGGUCUUUUCAAAACCAUAUCCUUUGCGCAGAAGAUUUGAUUCAUCUAGCUCAGAGGAAAGUGAUUCACGAAGAGACGAUUCACAGUCGAAUGAGAGCGAGUCUAAAUCAAGUGAAUCUGAAUCUUCAGAGGAAGAUGUGAGAGUUGUGAUGAGCACAUUGCCUCCAGUUAGAAAAACAAAUCCACCGACCGCUGGCAUAACAAGACCAACAACCACAACACAAGUCAUCACAGACUGCGUUUUUGUGGAUGUGAUAACUGGCACAAGGGGUGAUAACAAUAAUGUCAAUGUAAUAUCUUGCUGUGCUUCUGGUUAAUCAUCUUUUCCUGCAAAAAAAUAAAAAAUAAAAUAAAAAGAUAAAAAAUAAUAAUAAUAAUAAUGCAAUUCAAUUAAAUGUUUUUUGGUGUACAGUCCAUUGCAACAGUAUAAAGUAAUGUUUAUGUACUGAUAAUGAAGGUCUUGAAACUGAAUGAUGUAACUUUUUUAAUUAUUUACUUUUUUGCUUUCUCCCCAUUUUGGUUUUAAGUCCGGAUUUACAAUAAAAAAAAUCUUUCCA